CCCUUAGAUGUUCUGGGCCGCACGCGUGCUACACUGAUGCAUUCAACGAGUCUAAAACCUGGUCUGAUAGGGCUGGGUAAUCUUUUGAAAGUGCAUCGUGAUUGGGAUAGAUGAUUGCAAUUCUUCAUCUUCAACGAGGAAUGCCUAGUAAACGCAAGUCAUCAGCUUGCAUUGAUUACGUCCCUGCCCUUUGUACACACCGCCCGUCGCUCCUACCGAUUGAAUGAUCCGAUGAAUACCAUGGAUUGAGAGUACGAAUAGGUUCGCUUAUUUCUGCUGCUCGAGAAGUGGAGUAAAUCUUAUCACUUAGAGGAAGGAGAAGUCGUAACA
This 330-nucleotide ribosomal RNA is filed under the name uncultured eukaryote. Its description in RNAcentral is "partial 18S ribosomal RNA". It matches the Rfam family "Eukaryotic small subunit ribosomal RNA", at positions 1470 to 1796 of the family's 1831-position model. The record is from RNAcentral.